GUAAGGAAUAUUGGACAAUGGACGCAAGUCUGAUCCAGCCAUGCCGCGUGAAGGAUUAAGGUCCUCUGGAUUGUAAACUUCUUUUAUAAGGGACGAAAAAAGGCUUUUCUAAGUCGUCUGACGGUACCUUAUGAGUAAGCACCGGCUAACUCCGUGCCAGCAGCCGCGGUAAUACGGAGGGUGCAAGCGUUAUCCGGAUUCACUGGGUUUAAAGGGUGCGUAGGCGGGCAGGUAAGUCAGUGGUGAAAUCCUAGAGCUUAACUCUAGAACUGCAAUUGAUACUAUCUGUCUUGAAUAUUGUGGAGGUAAGCGGAAUAUGUCAUGUAGCGGUGAAAUGCUUAGAUAUGACAUAGAACACCUAUUGCGAAGGCAGCUUACUACGCAUAUAUUGACGCUGAGGCACGAAAGCGUGGGGAUCAAACAGGAUUAGAAACCCCAGUAGUCC
This 445-nucleotide ribosomal RNA is filed under the name uncultured bacterium. RNAcentral's name for it is "partial 16S ribosomal RNA". It matches the Rfam family "Bacterial small subunit ribosomal RNA", at positions 354 to 796 of the family's 1533-position model. The record is from RNAcentral.